RNAcentral lists this ribosomal RNA (125 nucleotides) under Russula exalbicans. Its description in RNAcentral is "partial small subunit ribosomal RNA". It matches the Rfam family "Eukaryotic small subunit ribosomal RNA", at positions 1657 to 1779 of the family's 1831-position model. The record is from RNAcentral. Lineage: Eukaryota; Fungi; Basidiomycota; Agaricomycetes; Russulales; Russulaceae.
CCUUUGUACACACCGCCCGUCGCUACUACCGAUUGAAUGGCUUAGUGAGACCUCCGGAUUGGCUUUGGGGAGUCGGAAACGACACCUCGUCGCUGAAAAGUUGGUCAAACUUGGUCAUUUAGAGG